CUGCCCCGUCAGUCAGUUUAAGGAACUGCUGUGAUCAGCUACUUCGGGAUUCAGCCAGGUUGUCUCUGGCUUAGGUUAAUACCAUCGAUUAUUCUCUUCCUGGACCUGCAACUUGCUUUGUGACAGAGCAAUAAGCUCCACACAAGAAGAGUGCUAACUCCAGACUCGGCCAGUCAGCGUGAAUAUGAGCCAGGCUUUCUCAGGUAACAGUCUGACAUGAAUUCUACGAAAUUCACGACGUUCCCUGAAAACACAACUGAGUCCGUCUUGGUCACCUCUACUUCCACCAUCACACCUCCUGCAAGUACUAGCACAAAUGUUCAAUCAGGUCUUUCUGCUACGGUAAGAUUUGGUUCGCUGUUGAACUUGAUUCAUUACAUUCUCCCAUUUCCCUAACAGUACAUUCCCCCUGUAGAAUCAGUCCUCUGUUUCCCCUGUAAAUACUGUUGUUUAGUGCUGAUGCAGCUGUUAAGCAUUUGCCGUGUUCCACCCCAGAGGUGGCCGUAUUUCUAUCCCUGAUGAAGUGCAUAUACAAUUAUUUUUAUAAGCCUUUUGGGAUCCCUCAGGAUGAAUGGCAACAUUUUAUUAUUCAUAUUUUUGUAUUGUAAGAGGAUUAGCAGUUAAGUUACUAUUAACAGCGAUUAAUAUCUUGUAUUGGCUUUUGAAAAAUAUAGUUGCUAUUUGUCAUGUAUAGGAUUAAAAAGGCAAACACAUGCACUAUUUACUUGCAGGCUUUUAAGGAAAUAGUUUCCUUAACAAUUCUAGUAGCUGUGUCUAGAUGAUGCAGGAAGCCCUAUGCUAAUGGUAUAAAAUUUUUUAUUAAGAUGAUGUUAAAAAAAAAGUGAAGAGUG
Trachemys scripta elegans is the source of this 851-nucleotide long non-coding RNA. RefSeq lists it as uncharacterized. NCBI's taxonomy places the organism in Eukaryota, Metazoa, Chordata, Testudines, Emydidae. The record is from RefSeq and is a predicted model, not a curated record. The transcript is spliced from 4 exons.